Molecule: ribosomal RNA, 476 nt
Filed under: uncultured bacterium
Lineage: Bacteria
Description: bacterial SSU rRNA
Rfam family: Bacterial small subunit ribosomal RNA
Source: RNAcentral
AAAGCCCUGUGGGGUAGAACGAACUGGCAUCGGGCUAAUAUCCCGGUGUCUUGACGGUACUGCCUUAGCAAGCAUCGGCUAACUCUGUGCCAGCAGCCGCGGUAAGACAGAGGAUGCGAACGUUGCUCGGAUUUACUGGGCGUAAAGCGCGUGUAGGCGGUCUCGUUAGUCGGGUGUGAAAGCCCCGGGGCUCAACCCGGGAAGUGCACCCGAUACUGCGAGACUGGGGGUACUGAAGAGGAGAGCGGAAUUCCCGGUGUAGAGGUGAAAUUCGUAGAUAUCGGGAGGAACACCAGUGGCGAAGGCGGCUCUCUGGGGCAGAUACCGACGCUGAGACGCGAAAGCGUGGGGAGCAAAACAGGAUUAGAUACCCUGGUAGUCCACGCUGUAAACGAUGACGACUGGGUGUUGCAGGUAUUGACCCCUGCGGUGCCGAAGCCAACGCGUUAAGUCGUCCGCCUGGGAAGUACGGCCGC